This is a non-coding RNA of Macaca mulatta (Rhesus monkey), 2312 nucleotides long. Lineage: Eukaryota; Metazoa; Chordata; Mammalia; Primates; Cercopithecidae. The record is from RefSeq and is a predicted model, not a curated record.
CACCACUGCACUGCAAUCUGGGCAACAGAGCAAGAUCCUUGACUCAAAGAAAGAAAGAAAGUGUUGAGAUCCAGACAGACUGAAAAGGAUCUCUUAUCUCAAAGGCCAUGUUUUUCCUUCUAUCCCUCCCAUUUGCCUGCCCUCAGCAAGGUAGUUGCUUCUUGCAUUUGGCAUUACCCAAAGGUCUGUUAAUGAACUUACCCUUGCCGUGUUGUGGUGUUUUCUCCCCUCUCCAGACUGCAAGCUACAUGAGAGCAGAGCCCUUGCUUGUCUUAUUCAUCUUCAUAGUCACAGCAGUUGCCUCCCAGUAUGCAGUAAAUCUUUGUUGAACAAAUAAAUGCACAGAGGAAAACUUUAUUCUGCAACUUAAGGGAAGUUGAAGCUCUGAAAUGAAUGCCAGCCACUCAGAGACUGAUAGAAGAAGAACUCUAGGAAAGAGGUCCCUCACUUUACCACAUGGAUCACAGGCAGCGCCUUGGAAAGGAAAAAUGCCUUUGUUUAUACCUGUGAGACAUAAUUCUUGGGUAUGUAAUGCAUUUACUGAGUAAAUAUUAUUCACCCUGUUUCUGAGAAGAUUCAGUAAAGGUAGGAAACUUAAAAAUGUUCAUUCCAGAGGUUUUAUGAAUUAUUUCUACUUCAUGGAUUGAUUGCUGAUCAGCUGAAUAAAUCAUCUGUCUUUGCCUUCUUUUAAUGACUGAAUCUAGUCACCAUUCAUUGUCGUUUGGGUAUUUGGAUGUCCAGCCUAAAUCAAUAGCCUAUCUAGUUUACUGAGAGACAAGUAUAGAUAAAAAUUAUCAUUGUUUUAACAGAGGACACGGUCUUAUCACCAAGGAGAAUAUCUUCAGAGUCUCUAAUAGUUUAGCAAUCUGCAAACUGAUUACAAUUGGACAAUACCCAGAGACCCCUUAACAUUCUAAUUGUAUCCUCAUGGAAUAAAUUUAUUUCUAUCCUAAUAUUGCUUAGAAAAGAAAUUGCAUAUUCUGUGUUAAUGUGCUGAUAUUCCAUCCACCUCCCCCAUUCAGUAGUAAUAUUUUUCUUCAGCAUUUUACAAAUGAAGGUAAAAUUGGUAUUUGUAGUAUAAUUUCCUGUAUACAUUUCCAGUUAAUUGAAUUUUGCUUCGGUAAUGUAUGGCUCUGAAUGAAAGAUACAUGUGUGAGUAAUAUCAGCAAGGGAAGUUUAAUUUCCAUUCAGCUUGAGUUCUGCUUAUUUCUAUGUGUUCUUUCUUCCUACUUUGCUGCCUGUCAUUUCCCUUAUCCAUGAAGAUGACUGGAAAAUGUGCCAUGGUUACUGAUGGUUGUACAGGUUCCUUCGUCCUAAUGGAAUGUGACAAAACAUAGAAACGGUUAGAUGGACUCCACCUAUACAGGUUGGGAGAUGGCAAAGCAGAAAAUAAAUGAGGAAAGUAAAAAGUUGAAACAUACUUCUUAAAAUCUUCCAUAGUGCUUUUAUGUGGGGGAAUAUGUUUGUGUUAAAUUAUAUGAAGAAUAUGUACAAGUUUAGUGUAUGCAUGUAUAUAUUUAUGUUAUGGAUACUAGUGAACUUUGGAUGAUCGGUUUGCAUUUUCCAGUCCAAGGUAACCUGGUGCUGCCACUUCAGGACCUGCUGGUCAUGCUGAAGAGAAGCAUUAAUUGGAAUAUAUUCAGCAUAUAAAGAGAGCUGAGGAAUAGGAGUAAUUGAAUACAGGCUAUGUUUUUCUGCUUUUAAAAAUUUGUAUCAUGAAAAUAUAUAGGUUACACAGUUGGCUUUUAGGCAUAAUUGUGGACAUACCUUUGAUUCUUCAGCUAAACAUUUUAGGUUGGCCUGUCCAGACUAAAAAGGAAUGCAGUUCCAUUCUCGAGAAAAACAAAGUGUUACAAAGACUGGCCUAUUUCCAACCAAGUUUUAUGUGAGCUUAAAUGUGUUAAUUGUAGAACUGUUAAGGGUUUUUUCCCCUGCUUUCCUUUUAAAUCAAUAUCAAAUUAAACCUAAGUAAGUGGAAUUGUCAAGGCAACAACUAGCAUAUAGUUUUUCAAGGAAAACACUUGACUGAGGAAAGAAUAACCAGUAUUGUUAAAAUGAAUUUGCAGAAAAGCAGCAUUUUGUAAAAUAAGCAUUAUGAGCUUGCAGGGUGUGGUGGGAAAAAAGCCUAGUCUUUGAGUUCGAGCACUGCCUAAUGGUUCCUUCAUUAGUGACAUUUGCAUGCAUCCUGGGGCCCGACAUUGUACUCUGGUUUAGGAAUGCAGUAACAAAUACAUUUAGCUGGCAGAAUGGCUCACACUUGUAAUCCCAGCCGAUUAGGAGGCCAAGGUGGGAGGAUCACUUUAGCCUAGGAG